This 942-nucleotide ribosomal RNA is filed under the name uncultured bacterium. RNAcentral describes it as "bacterial SSU rRNA". It matches the Rfam family "Bacterial small subunit ribosomal RNA", at positions 8 to 970 of the family's 1533-position model. The record is from RNAcentral.
AGAGUUUGAUCAUGGCUCAGGACGAACGCUGGCGGCGUGCUUAACACAUGCAAGUCGAGCGGUAAGGCCCUUUCGGGGGUACACGAGCGGCGAACGGGUGAGUAACACGUGGGUGACCUGCCCUUAGCUCUGGGAUAAGCCUGGGAAACUGGGUCUAAUACCGGAUAUGACUCCAUGACGCAUGUUGUGGGGUGGAAAGCCUUGUGCGGCUAGGGAUGGGCCCGCGGCCUAUCAGCUUGUUGGUGGGGUGAUGGCCUACCAAGGCGACGACGGGUAGCCGGCCUGAGAGGGCGACCGGCCACACUGGGACUGAGACACGGCCCAGACUCCUACGGGAGGCAGCAGUGGGGAAUCUUGCGCAAUGGGCGAAAGCCUGACGCAGCGACGCCGCGUGGGGGAUGACGGCCUUCGGGUUGUAAACCUCUUUCAGCCCUGACGAAGCGAGAGUGACGGUAGGGGCAGAAGAAGCACCGGCCAACUACGUGCCAGCAGCCGCGGUAAUACGUAGGGUGCAAGCGUUGUCCGGAAUUAUUGGGCGUAAAGAGCUCGUAGGCGGCCUGUCGCGUCGGCUGUGAAAACUUGGGGCUCAACCCUGAGCUUGCAGUCGAUACGGGCAGGCUAGAGUUCGGCAGGGGAGACUGGAAUUCCUGGUGUAGCGGUGAAAUGCGCAGAUAUCAGGAGGAACACCGGUGGCGAAGCGGGUCUCUGGGCCGAUACUGACGCUGAGAGCGAAAGCGUGGGGAGCGAACAGGAUUAGAUACCCUGGUAGUCACGCCGUAAACGUUGGGCGCUAGUGUGGGAUCCCUUUCACGGGUUCCGUGCCGCAGCUAACGCAUUAAGCGCCCCGCCUGGGGAGUACGGCGCAAGGCUAAACUCAAAGGAAUUGACGGGGCCCGCACAGCGGCGGAGCAUGUGGAUUAAUUCGAUGCAACGCGAAGAACC